CUAUACAUGACUCUGCGCAUAUCAAUAAGCGGAGGAAAAGAAACUAACGAGGAUUCCCCUAGUAACGGCGAGUGAAGCGGGAAGAGCUCAAAUUUGAAAUCUUAAAGGGUUUCCCUUUACGAAUUGUAGUUUAAAGAAGUGUUUUCUGUUGAGGUUUUGGUAAAAGUUCUUUGGAAUAGGACAUCAUAGAGGGUGAGAAUCCCGUAUUUGACCUUUACUUUCAACUUUGUGAUACACUUUCAAAGAGUCGGAUUGUUUGGGAAUGCAGUCCAAAAUGGGUGGUAAAUUUCAUCUAAAGCUAAAUAUUGGCGAGAGACCGAUAGCGAACAAGUACCGUGAGGGAAAGAUGAAAAGAACUUUGAAAAGAGGGUUAAACAGUACGUGAAAUUGUCAAAAGGGAAGCGUUUGACACCAGUGUUGUUUUUCUGAAAAUCAAUUAAAGAACUGUUUAUGCUAAGUUGUUUAGACUUUAUCAGCUAUCUGUUUAGUUUUGAGCUUUUCUUUAAUGCACUUUUCAGUUAACAAGUCAACAUCAAUUUCUUUUGCUGUAAAAAAGCUUGAGGAAGGUGGCUUGAGAUUCGUCUUAAGUGUUUAUAGCCUCUUGCCUAUGCAGUCGGAGAGAUUGAGGUCUGCAGCGUAGAUCCUUCGGGGCUAAAUGCAUUUGUGCUAAGUUAUAGCAUUUUAUAGACAACUUGUUGACUAUGAUUUGUCUUGUAGCUUACUCGCUUAUGUUAUUUUACCUACGCUUAGGAUGUUGAUCUACAGAGCGAGAGU
This 774-nucleotide ribosomal RNA is filed under the name uncultured Neocallimastigales. Its description in RNAcentral is "partial large subunit ribosomal RNA". It matches the Rfam family "Eukaryotic large subunit ribosomal RNA", at positions 22 to 635 of the family's 3401-position model. Lineage: Eukaryota; Fungi; Neocallimastigomycota; Neocallimastigomycetes; Neocallimastigales. The record is from RNAcentral.